GAAAUGAGGUCCGUACGUGAUCCGAGGUCACCUGGUAAAAAGAAGGUUGGAGACGCCGGCUGGCGCCCGGCCGGCCCUAAUCGAGCGGGUGACAAAGCCCCAUACGCUCGAGGACCGGACGCGGUGCCGCCGCUGCCUUUCGGGCCCGUCCCCCGGGGGGGACGACGACCCAACACACAAGCCGGGCUUGAAGGGAAGAAAUGACGCUCGGACAGGCAUGCCCCCCGGAAUGCCAGGGGGCGGAAUGUGCGUUCCAAUACAUCGAAGAUUCACUCAAUUGUGCAUUUCAGGUGACUUAUCUGUCUUAGCUUCUUUUUUGCCCUUCAGGCCAGGCUUGAGAGAUAGUGUGUAGAUUUUUUAGAGUAUUGUUUAACGAAAGACACAAAAUUAAAAAUGGAGGGCUGGUUGGGAUAUGAGGGUUUAACCUGGGGGGUCCAGCCCGAACGGACACGGUGGUAAGUAUCCACCUGGGAGUUGGAAGGUUGACCGGAGAAUGAAAGGAAAAUCGUUGAGAAGUAGCCGAUCGAUAGACGGAGGAAUGCAGGCCUGCCCCCGGGCUGGCCUUUCUCCUCUUUCAUUUCUUUUCCUCUUUUCUUCUCCGUGUCCCCCCUCUGUUUUUUUCCUUUU
RNAcentral lists this unclassified non-coding RNA (627 nucleotides) under Aspergillus parasiticus. RNAcentral describes it as "sequence contains ITS1, 5.8S rRNA gene and ITS2". The record is from RNAcentral. Lineage: Eukaryota; Fungi; Ascomycota; Eurotiomycetes; Eurotiales; Aspergillaceae.